CCUACGGGAGGCAGCAGUGAGGAAUAGUGGUCAAUGGGCGCGAGCCUGAACCAGCCAAGUAGCGUGAAGGAUGACUGCCCUACGGGUUGUAAACUUCUUUUAUAAAGGAAUAAAGUGAGGCACGUGUGCCUUUUUGUAUGUACUUUAUGAAUAAGGAUCGGAUAACUCCGUGCCAGCAGCCGCGGUAAUACGGAGGAGACGAGCGUUAUCCGGAUUUAUUGGGUUUAAAGGGAGCGUAGAUGGGUUGUUAAGUCAGUUGUGAAAGUUUGCGGCUCAACCGUAAAAUUGCAAUUGAUACUGGCAGCCUUGAUUACAGUUGAGGUAGUCGGCAUUCGUUGUGUAGCGGUGAAAUGCUUCGAUCUCACGAAGAACUCCGAUUGCGUAGGCAGCUUACUAAACUGCCACUGACAUUGAUGCUCG
RNAcentral lists this ribosomal RNA (420 nucleotides) under uncultured bacterium. RNAcentral's name for it is "partial 16S ribosomal RNA". It matches the Rfam family "Bacterial small subunit ribosomal RNA", at positions 338 to 755 of the family's 1533-position model. The record is from RNAcentral.